UGAGGAAGAUAAUGACGGUACUCAACAAGGAAGUGACGGCUAACUACGUGCCAGCAGCCGCAGUAAAACGUACGUCACAAGCGUUGUCCGGAAUUACUGGGUGUAAAGGGAGCGCAGGCGGGAAGACAAGUUGGAAGUGAAAUCCAUCGGCUCCACCCAUGAACUGCUUUCAAAACUGUUUUUCUUGAGUAGUGCAGAGGUAGGCGGAAUUCCCGGUGUAGCGGUGGAAUGCGUAGAUAUCGGGAGGAACACCAGUGGCGAAGGCGGCCUACUGGGCACCAACUGACGCUGAGGCUCGAAAGUGUGGGUAGCAAACAGGAUUAGAUACCCUGGUAGUCCACACCGUAAACGAUGAUUACUAGGUGUUGGAGGAUUGACCCCUUCAGUGCCGCAGUUAACACAAUAAGUAAUCCACCUGGGGAGUACGACCGCAAGGUUGAAACUCAAAGGAAUUGACGGGGGCCCGCACAAGCAGUGGAGUAUGUGGUUUAAUUCGACGCAACGCGAAGAACCUUACCAAGUCUUGACAUCCUGCGACGAUGAUAGAAAUAUGUGUUUCCUUCGGGACACAGAGACAGGUGGUGCAUGGUUGUCGUCAGCUCGUGUCGUGAGAUGUUGGGUUAAGUCCCGCAACGAGCGCAACCCUUAUGGUCAGUUACUACGCAAGAGGACUCUGGCCAGACUGCCGUUGACAAAA
Molecule: ribosomal RNA, 697 nt
Filed under: Faecalibacterium prausnitzii
Lineage: Bacteria; Bacillati; Bacillota; Clostridia; Eubacteriales; Oscillospiraceae
Description: bacterial SSU rRNA
Rfam family: Bacterial small subunit ribosomal RNA
Source: RNAcentral